ACGGAAGGCAGCAGUGGGGAAUAUUGCACAAUGGGGGAAACCCUGAUGCAGCGACGCCGCGUGAGUGAAGAAGUAUCUCGGUAUGUAAAGCUCUAUCAGCAGGGAAGAAAAUGACGGUACCUGACUAAGAAGCCCCGGCUAACUACGUGCCAGCAGCCGCGGUAAUACGUAGGGGGCAAGCGUUAUCCGGAUUUACUGGGUGUAAAGGGAGCGUAGACGGUCUGGCAAGUCUGAUGUGAAAGGCAGGGGCUCAACUCCUGGACUGCAUUGGAAACUGUCGGACUGGAGUGCCGGAGAGGUAAGCGGAAUUCCUAGUGUAGCGGUGAAAUGCGUAGAUAUUAGGAGGAACACCAGUGGCGAAGGCGGCUUACUGGACCGUAACUGACGUUGAGGCUCGAAAGCGUGGGGAGCAAACAGGAUUAGAUACCCUGGUA
This 434-nucleotide ribosomal RNA is filed under the name uncultured Lachnospiraceae bacterium. RNAcentral's name for it is "partial 16S ribosomal RNA". It matches the Rfam family "Bacterial small subunit ribosomal RNA", at positions 341 to 792 of the family's 1533-position model. Lineage: Bacteria; Bacillati; Bacillota; Clostridia; Lachnospirales; Lachnospiraceae. The record is from RNAcentral.